GAUGAACGCUGGCGGCGUGCCUAAUACAUGCAAGUCGAGCGGACGGACGAGAAGCUUGCUUCUCUGAUGUUAGCGGCGGACGGGUGAGUAACGCGUGGAUAACCUACCUAUAAGACUGGUAUAACUUCGGGAAACCGGAGCUAAUACCGGAUAAUAUCUUGAUUCGCAUGGUUCAAUAGUGAAAGUCGGUCUUUCUGUCACUUAUAGAUGGAUCCGCGCUUCAUUAGCGAGUUGGUACGGUAACAGAUUAUCAAGGCAAAGAUGCAUAGCCAACCUGAGGGUGUGAUCGUCCACCAUGGCAAGGAGACGCGGUCCACGCUGCUGCGGGAGGGAGCAGAACGGCAUCGUCCGCAGUGGGCGGAAGAGUGACCGAGCAACGGCAAGUGAGUUAUGAAGGUCUUCAGGUCGUAAUACUCUGAUAUGAGGGAAGAACAUAUGUGUAAGUAACCGUGCAGAUCUUGACGGUACCUAAUCAAAAAGCAACGGCUAACUACGUG
Molecule: ribosomal RNA, 497 nt
Filed under: uncultured bacterium
Lineage: Bacteria
Description: partial 16S ribosomal RNA
Rfam family: Bacterial small subunit ribosomal RNA
Source: RNAcentral